UACGAAGGGGGCUAGCGUUAAUCGGAAUUACUGGGCGUAAAGUGUGCGCAGGCGGCCGCGCAAGUCGAGUGUGAAAGCCCCGAGCUUAACUUGGGAAUUGCGCUCGAAACUACGUGGCUGGAGUGUGGCAGAGGAAGGUGGAAUUCCAGGUGUAGCGGUGAAAUGCGUAGAGAUCUGGAGGAACACCGAUGGCGAAGGCAGCCUUCUGGGGCCAACACUGACGCUCAUGCACGAAAGCGUGGGGAGCGAACAGG
This 254-nucleotide ribosomal RNA is filed under the name uncultured bacterium. RNAcentral describes it as "partial 16S ribosomal RNA". It matches the Rfam family "Bacterial small subunit ribosomal RNA", at positions 524 to 776 of the family's 1533-position model. The record is from RNAcentral.